This is a non-coding RNA of Pseudonaja textilis, 102 nucleotides long. The record is from RefSeq and is a predicted model, not a curated record. Lineage: Eukaryota; Metazoa; Chordata; Lepidosauria; Squamata; Elapidae.
UAAUUUAGUAGGCACUUUUAGGGAAGAAGAUCAGCAGCUUUCCAUGUAUGAGAAUUUCACUAGUCCUUUACAACAAAAGUAUGCAGGUGGAGGGCAAAGGGG